UUUUUCAGUAUAAUAUGUUUUUGUAUGUGAUGUGAAUAAAAAUAAGAAAAACUUGACAACAUGUUCUUCAUUCAAGCGUCUCGUUUAAUUUUCUAGUGAUAUUAUUAUUUUUUGCAUCUAGCAUUACAUUAAUUUUAUCAUAUUUGCUUUGCAUUUAUGCAAUUAAUUUCAUAUAAUACAGUUAUCCUAUAGUUUCAAAAAGGUAUGCUAUACUUCUUAAUUUUACCUUUAUUCUUUCUGAACUAUAACAGUUGAAUUUAUAAUUGUUGUAAUUAAAUAACAAAUAUUUCAAUUUUUUAAUCAAUUCUAGCUUAUUUUACAAUAGAAUUACGAUAUAAAUAAAUGCAAUAAAUUUUAGGGAUUUCUCUAAAUUUUUAUAAUAUAUGCAACAUAUUUAUCAGUACUACAUUUCAAAACCAUUUUCUUAAAUUCAAGAUUUCUAAUGAUAUUUUUAAUUUCAAGAAAAAUUAUAACUGCUUAAAAUUUUGUAUCCAUAUAAAACUACUAAAUUAUAAACUUAUGCAUAGAUUUUCAUUCUUUGUGCUUUUGAUGUUUUCGUCAUAAACAGACUUUUAAAGAUAUGAAAUCUAGUUCACUUAAACAACGCUUAGUAAUUUAAUUACGUUAAUUAUUUACGUUUUAGAACAAAGAAGGUUAUCGUAAAUGGCUGCGGAUGAGUACUACUACAUUUGAGGAAAUCUUAAGACUUGGUUUCUCCGAUAAUAGUAAACCAGAACACCCACAUGAGAUUGUCCACACCAGCUGAAGAAAGAUUAACUCUAGCUAAGAAGAAACACAAUGCUCAUUGGCAUUCCAGUUUCGAAUCGCUCCAAGUGCUAUCUUGUCAGCUGUGUUUAAAGCAUCGUACAAUGUUUUGAAAGGUGUCAUUGGGAUGAAACUGCGACAGAUCUUCAUUUAAAGUGUAAUCUCCCUAUGUAUUGUAGUGCUCUAGAUGGUUAACAUAUUAAAAUUAAAUCCGCCUGGUUCUGAGUCAAAUUAUUAUUACUACAAGAGUGAUUACAGUGUAGUUUUACUAGCAUCGAUCUCGAACUAUUUGCAUCACCUUUUGAGCAGGAAAAGAGGAAGGAGAAAUUUAUGUUCUCCUAAAGAGUGUUAUCGCUAAUAUUUUACUGAUAUGCUACUUUAUUUACUACAAGAAUUAUAUGUGUAUUUUUUAAAUUUCACGUUUUUUUUAUUUUUAAAUUAUUAAAAAAAUUAAUUUUUUAUAUUUAAUGUUAUUUCUUCUUAUAAAUUAAUUCUUUUUUAAUAACAUUCAUUAUUUUUAAAAGCAUUAAAUUAUUUAAAAAGCUAUUUGUUGAUCAUAAAAAUUAACGCAUUAAUACGUUUGAAAACACAACAAAACUAUUUACUACAAUACUGUUUGUCUAAUAAUAAUAAUAAUAGUGAUAAUCUUCAAAUUUAUCAAGAAUUAAAUAAAUGAUACGUUUGUAGAAGUAUGUAUUAAAUCUUUUCACUUCUCUUUAAAAUUUAACCGUUCAUCAUAUAUGCGAUCCAAAUUUAUAUUGCUUCCACUAUUAUUUUUCCUUACAUUAACAUGUCUAAGUGAUCGUCUUUCAAAAGAAGAAUUCCUUGUUAAUUUUUACAAAAUUUAUUAAACUGAAACCUUGUUCACAGUCAACACCAGGCACCAAAAUUGUUCCAUCAAUAAUAAUUUGUUUUGAAAGUUCGGAAAAUUGUUCAUUCUGUAAUGAAAAUAUUACAAUAUUUGAAAAUUUAUUAACAAUGAACACUUAAUUUUCUUUACCUGUCCAUUCUUGUACUUCAUUUUCAGGAAAUCUCUCUUUUAAAUGACAGCAAAGUAAAUUUCUAAAAGUUAGCAUAGAAUAAAUGUCAAUUUCAAUAUUUUUUCCUCCGGUUUACAGAGAAGAAUUUUCAUUGCAUUACUCUAAGAACUCUACUGUGGUUAAUAAGUUAUUUUAUUAUUAAGUUGAUUUAUUUUACCAAUAACAAAAUGAAAUAAUUAAGUAGUGUUAGCUUUCGUUGCCAACAAAUUUUACACAGAGCUCAAAACUUCUUUACAAACGUUAUUCAUAAUACUUAAAUUAAAUUAAAUUAAAUUAAAAUUCGGUAUCAUUCAGUUUUUGUAUACAACAUUUUGCAACAGGAUUACUUGCUUUACCUUCAUUAAAAUAUUUAAUUAAUGCUUCGUAUUUUUACGUGCAAAAUAUCUAGAAAACCACUUAACUUUAUUGACAUUUUAAAGCUAAUAGCUUCAUUUUUAAAGCAUUAACAAUAUCUUGACAUUUAUCUUGUUUUCUUGAAGAUUAGAAACGUUCCCAUCAAAGUUUAAAUAUCUCUCAUUAAUUUAACUUCCUUUGAAGCAACGCAGAUACAAAAAUCUUCACGAUGUGCAAUACAGGGUUCUUGAACCAAAUGUGAUAUAUUUUCCUCCCAAAUGUAGUUUUGCUGCUACUCCACUUACCUUCCCUAGCAUAAUAGCUGCUUCAUCAAAAGUAAAUACAGUCAUCCCUCAGUUAUCGCGGUUAAUAAGAACUAUCUGG
Stegodyphus dumicola is the source of this 2522-nucleotide long non-coding RNA. The record is from RefSeq and is a predicted model, not a curated record. NCBI's taxonomy places the organism in Eukaryota, Metazoa, Arthropoda, Arachnida, Araneae, Eresidae.